AGGAUGAACGCUGGCGGCGUGCCUAACACAUGCAAGUCGAACGUCCUGUCUCGCAAGAGGCAGGGAGUGGCGGACGGGUGAGUACCACGUGGGUCAUCUACCGUGAGGUGAGGAAUACCGGCGAGAAAUCGCCGACAAGACCGCAUAGGCUUCCUUCGGUAGCCCGAGGGAAGCAAAGUUCCGCCGCAAGGAGGGACGCUGGAAGAGGGGCCUGUGGCCGAUUAGCUAGUUGGGGGGUAACGGCCUCCCAAGGCGACGAUCGGUAGCUGGUCUGAGAGGACGAUCAGCCACACUGGGAUUGAGAACGGCCCAGACUCCUACGGGGGGCAGCAGUGAGGAAUAUUGGACAAUGGGCGAAAGCCUGAUCCAGCAAUGCCGCGUGAGUGAUGAAGGCCUUAGGGUUGUAAAGCUCUUUUACCCGGGAUGAUAAUGACAGUACCGGAGAAUAGCUCCGGCUAACUCCGUGCCAGCAGCCGCGGU
Molecule: ribosomal RNA, 480 nt
Filed under: uncultured bacterium
Lineage: Bacteria
Description: SSU rRNA
Rfam family: Bacterial small subunit ribosomal RNA
Source: RNAcentral